This 280-nucleotide ribosomal RNA is filed under the name uncultured bacterium. Its description in RNAcentral is "partial 16S ribosomal RNA". It matches the Rfam family "Bacterial small subunit ribosomal RNA", at positions 333 to 605 of the family's 1533-position model. The record is from RNAcentral.
UAUGUCCUACGGGACGCAGCAGUAGGGAAUCUUCCACAAUGGGCGAAAGCCUGAUGGAGCAACGCCGCUUGGGUGAAGAAGGUCUUCGGAUCGUAAAACCCUGUUGUUAGAGAAGAAAGUGCGUGAGAGUAACUGUUCACGUUUCGACGGUAUCUAACCAGAAAGCCACGGCUAACUACGUGCCAGCAGCCGCGGUAAUACGUAGGUGGCAAGCGUUAUCCGGAUUUAUUGGGCGUAAAGGGAACGCAGGAGGUCUUUCAAGUCUGAUGUGACAGCCUUC